Molecule: ribosomal RNA, 1463 nt
Filed under: uncultured Bordetella sp.
Lineage: Bacteria; Pseudomonadati; Pseudomonadota; Betaproteobacteria; Burkholderiales; Alcaligenaceae
Description: partial 16S-23S ribosomal RNA intergenic spacer
Rfam family: Bacterial small subunit ribosomal RNA
Source: RNAcentral
GGUUUGAUUAUGGCUCAGAUUGAACGCUGGCGGGAUGCUUUACACAUGCAAGUCGAACGGCAGCACGGACUUCGGUCUUGGUGGCGAGUGGCGAACGGGUGAGUAAUGUAUCGGAACGUGCCUAGUAGCGGGGGAUAACUACGUGAAAGCGCUAAUACCGCAUACGCCCUUCGGGGGAAAGCGGGGACCUUCGGGCCUCGCACUAUUAGAGCGGCCGAUAUCGGAUUAGCUAGUUGGUGGGGCACGUAUUCACUGGCGUUGACGAUCCAGAAGCUGUUUGAGAGGACGAUCAGCCAUGAUCCGGAAUGAGACGAUGCUUCAGACCUACGGAACGCAGCAGUGUGUAGUUCUGGAUACGGGAACUCUUGAUCCAGUCGGUCCCGCAAGAUAUGUUGCCUUUGCUGUAGGCACCUUUGCGUGAAAGAAAAUCGCAUGAAGACCGCAACUGACGGUACCUGUGAAUAACACCAGUUAACGAGCAAAUGCAGGCCGCGUAUUACGGUGAAAAGCGUUGAACGGAAUUUAAUGGGCAAAAGCGCAGGUGCAGAAACGGCGAAAGAUGUGAAAAUCCAGAGCUUAACUUUGGAACUGCAUUUUUAACUACCGAGCUAGAGUGUAAUCAGAGGGAGGUGGAAUUCCGCGUGUAGCAGUGAAAUGCGUAGAUAUGCGGAGGAACACCGAUGGCGAAGGCAGCCUCCUGGGAUAACACUGACGCUCAUGCACGAAAGCGUGGGGAGCAAACAGGAUUAGAUACCCUGGUAGUCCACGCCCUAAACGAUGUCAACUAGCUGUUGGGGCCUUCGGGCCUUGGUAGCGCAGCUAAUUCUAGUGUGAAGUUGACCGCCUGGGGAGUACGGUCGCAAGAUUAAACUCAAAGGAAUUGACGGGGACCUGCACAAGCGGUGGAUGAUGUGGAUUAAUUGAUGCAAACGCGAAAACCUUACCUACCCUUGACAUGUCUGGAAUCCCGAAGAGAUUUGGGAGUGCCUGCAAGAGAACCGGAACACAGGUGCUGCAUGUAUUGCCGUCAGCUCGUGUCGAGAUGCUGGGUUAAGUCCCGCAACGAGCGCAACCUCUCGUCAUUAGUUACACAGGCGCACUCUAAUGAGACUGCCGGUGACAAACCGGAGGAAGGUGGGGAUGACGUCAAGUCCUCAUGGCCCUUAUGGGUAGGGCUUCACACGUCAUACAAUGGUCGGGACAGAGGGUCGCCAACCCGCGCAGGGGAGCCAAUCCCAGAAACCCGAUCGUAGUCCGGAUCGCAGUCUGCAACCUGACUGCGUGAAGCUUCUGGAAUCGCUAGUAAUCGCGGAUCAGCAUGUCGCGGUGAAUACGUUCCUGGUCUUGUACACACCGCCCGUCACACCAUGGGAGUGGGUUUUACCAGAAGUAGUUAGCCUAACCGUAAGGAGGGCGAUUACCACGGUAGGAUUCAUGACUGGGGUGAAGUCGUAACAAGGUAA